RNAcentral lists this small RNA (75 nucleotides) under Xanthomonas prunicola. RNAcentral describes it as "sX9 sRNA". It matches the Rfam family "Xanthomonas sRNA sX9". Lineage: Bacteria; Pseudomonadati; Pseudomonadota; Gammaproteobacteria; Lysobacterales; Lysobacteraceae. The record is from RNAcentral.
AUGUGCCACGCGCACAUUGCGGUUCCUGCACGCCGUCCGCACCCGCCUGACGGCUGCUCGCACGCCUUGUCAGCC